UUUUAAAUUUGUUUUACAUAUAAAUUUUAGUGUUAAUAUUAAUUUAUUUAAAAAAUAAAUUUUAAUUAUAAUUUGUUAGUAAUUAAUAUUAAAAUAUUUAAGAAAUUAAUAUUUAGUAAUAUUAAAAUUAAUAACUAAUUUUGUGCCAGCAGUUGCGGUUAAACAAAGAUUAAAUUAAAUUUUAUUAGUAAUUAGUAAAUAAAAUUAAAAGUUAUAAUUUAAAAUUUAGAUUAUUAGGUGAAAUUUUAAUUUAAUAAAAAAUUAUUUUAAUUUUAUGAUUUAAUAAAUUUUUAAAAAAACUAGGAUUAGAUACCCUAUUAUUAAAAUUUUAAAUUAAAAUACUAAAAUAGUAAUUAAUUAUUUAUUGAAACUUAAGUAAUUUGGCGGUAUUUUAGUUCAUUUAGAGGAAUCUGUUUAAUAAUUGAUAAUCCACGAAUAAAUUUACUUAAUUUAUAAUUUUGUAUAUCGUUGUUAAAAAAAUAUUUUUUAAUAAUAAUAAUAUUUAAAAAUUUUUAAAUAAAUUAAAUCAGAUCAAGAUGCAGAUAAUAAUUAAGAAUAUAAUGGAUUACAAUAGAAUUAUUUAAGUGAAUAUUAAUUUGAAAUAAUUAAUUGAAAUUGGAUUUAAAUGUAAUUUUAUUUAGUUUAAUAAAAUGAUUUAAAAUUGAAAUAUGUACAUAUUGCCCGUCGCUUUCAUAUAUUUAUAUAAAAUUAAUUAUUUAAUUAUAUAUUAUUAAAUUGAAAUAAGUCGUAACAAAGUAGAGGUACUGGAAAGUGUUUCUAGAAAGAA
This 787-nucleotide ribosomal RNA is filed under the name Erebus macrops. RNAcentral's name for it is "12S ribosomal RNA". The record is from RNAcentral. Lineage: Eukaryota; Metazoa; Arthropoda; Insecta; Lepidoptera; Erebidae.